RNAcentral lists this ribosomal RNA (834 nucleotides) under uncultured bacterium. RNAcentral describes it as "bacterial SSU rRNA". It matches the Rfam family "Bacterial small subunit ribosomal RNA", at positions 69 to 873 of the family's 1533-position model. The record is from RNAcentral.
CUUCUUUUUCCACCGGAGCUUGCUCCACCGGAAAAAGAGGAGUGGCGAACGGGUGAGUAACACGUGGGUAACCUGCCCAUCAGAAGGGGAUAACAUUUGGAAACAGGUGCUAAUACCGUAUAACAAUCGAAACCGCAUGGUUUUGAUUUGAAAGGCGCUUUCGGGUGUCGCUGAUGGAUGGACCCGCGGUGCAUUAGCUAGUUGGUGAGGUAACGGCUCACCAAGGCCACGAUGCAUAGCCGACCUGAGAGGGUGAUCGGCCACAUUGGGACUGAGACACGGCCCAAACUCCUACGGGAGGCAGCAGUAGGGAAUCUUCGGCAAUGGACGAAAGUCUGACCGAGCAACGCCGCGUGAGUGAAGAAGGUUUUCGGAUCGUAAAACUCUGUUGUUAGAGAAGAACAAGGAUGAGAGUAACUGUUCAUCCCUUGACGGUAUCUAACCAGAAAGCCACGGCUAACUACGUGCCAGCAGCCGCGGUAAUACGUAGGUGGCAAGCGUUGUCCGGAUUUAUUGGGCGUAAAGCGAGCGCAGGCGGUUUCUUAAGUCUGAUGUGAAAGCCCCCGGCUCAACCGGGGAGGGUCAUUGGAAACUGGGAGACUUGAGUGCAGAAGAGGAGAGUGGAAUUCCAUGUGUAGCGGUGAAAUGCGUAGAUAUAUGGAGGAACACCAGUGGCGAAGGCGGCUCUCUGGUCUGUAACUGACGCUGAGGCUCGAAAGCGUGGGGAGCAAACAGGAUUAGAUACCCUGGUAGUCCACGCCGUANACGAUGAGUGCUAAGUGUUGGAGGGNUUCCGCCCUUCAGUGCUGCAGCUAACGCAUUAAGCACUCCGCC